This 468-nucleotide ribosomal RNA is filed under the name uncultured bacterium. RNAcentral describes it as "partial 16S ribosomal RNA". It matches the Rfam family "Bacterial small subunit ribosomal RNA", at positions 28 to 507 of the family's 1533-position model. The record is from RNAcentral.
GACGAACGCUGGCGGCGUGCUUAACACAUGCAAGUCGAACGGAAAGGCCCUGCUUUUGUGGGGUGCUCGAGUGGCGAACGGGUGAGUAACACGUGAGUAACCUGCCCUUGACUUUGGGAUAACUUCAGGAAACUGGGGCUAAUACCGGAUAGGAGCUCCUGCUGCAUGGUGGGGGUUGGAAAGUUUCGGCGGUUGGGGAUGGACUCGCGGCUUAUCAGCUUGUUGGUGGGGUAGUGGCUUACCAAGGCUUUGACGGGUAGCCGGCCUGAGAGGGUGACCGGCCCCAUUGGGACUGGGAUACGGCCCAGACUCCUACGGGAGGCAGCAGUGGGGAAUAGUGCACAAUGGGCGGAAGCCUGAUGCAGCAACGCCGCGUGCGGGAUGACGGCCUUCGGGUUGUAAACCGCUUUCGGCUGUGACGAAGCGUGAGUGACGGUAAUGGGUAAAGAAGCACCGGCUAACUACGUG